UGCCAGCAGCCGCGGUAAUACGUAGGGGGCGAGCGUUAUCCGGAUUCAUUGGGCGUAAAGCGCGCGUAGGCGGCCCGGCAGGCAGGGGGUCAAAUGGCGGGGCUCAACCCCGUCCCGCCCCCUGAACCGCCGGGCUCGGGUCCGGUAGGGGAGGGUGGAACACCCGGUGUAGCGGUGGAAUGCGCAGAUAUCGGGUGGAACACCGGUGGCGAAGGCGGCCCUCUGGGCCGAGACCGACGCUGAGGCGCGAAAGCUGGGGGAGCGAACAGGAUUAGAUA
Molecule: ribosomal RNA, 278 nt
Filed under: uncultured bacterium
Lineage: Bacteria
Description: partial 16S ribosomal RNA
Rfam family: Bacterial small subunit ribosomal RNA
Source: RNAcentral